This 252-nucleotide ribosomal RNA is filed under the name uncultured bacterium. Its description in RNAcentral is "partial 16S ribosomal RNA". It matches the Rfam family "Bacterial small subunit ribosomal RNA", at positions 524 to 776 of the family's 1533-position model. The record is from RNAcentral.
UACGUAGGGUGCAAGCGUUAAUCGGAAUUACUGGGCGUAAAGCGUGCGCAGGCGGUUUUGUAAGUCUGUCGUGAAAUCCCUGGGCUCAACCUAGGAAUUGCGAUGGAGACUGCAAGGCUAGAAUCUGGCAGAGGGGGUAGAAUUCCACGUGUAGCAGUGAAAUGCGUAGAGAUGUGGAGGAACACCGAUGGCGAAGGCAGCCCCCUGGGUCAAGAUUGACGCUCAUGCACGAAAGCGUGGGGAGCAAACAGG